CCCAGGUCACUCCUUUCUCCAAGUUUGGAGUCUCGCUCUCUUGCUGCUUCCGGGCCUCAACGACCCUCGGGUUGUCCGACCCGCCUUACGAGUGUCCAUCGGUCUGUCUCUCUGCGGUCCGCAGUUGAGUGCGGGCUCUUCCUUCCCGCACCCUGCCCCGCCGCUGCGGCGGGUGGCGGUAAGCAGAAAUGACCAGAGUGUAUUAUCAACCCAUCCAAGCUCUUGCCCCGCCCCUCCCUGUCUCCAGCUCUAGCCUUCUCUGCAGCCAGACCUCGGGAUCUUCGGGAUCUGACUGGAUAAAGUCGCUGUACUUCUCUGGGUGUUGAAUCAUUCAUUGAAGAUUGGAAGCCCUGAAGGUUGGAUCCUAAGCUAUUCCAUUAAAGGAUGUUGUAAUCAGAAGUUUUGAUUAGUAAAUGCUGGGAUCACG
Molecule: long non-coding RNA, 427 nt
Organism: Grammomys surdaster
Lineage: Eukaryota; Metazoa; Chordata; Mammalia; Rodentia; Muridae
Exons: 2
Source: RefSeq, a predicted model, not a curated record